This 220-nucleotide unclassified non-coding RNA is filed under the name Hevea brasiliensis (rubber tree). The record is from RNAcentral. Lineage: Eukaryota; Viridiplantae; Streptophyta; Magnoliopsida; Malpighiales; Euphorbiaceae.
AGAAAAGAAAAAAUUUUUCAGACCUUUCUUCUCAACUCUCUCUCUCUCAGACCCACCACCCAUCGGAUCUUUCUCUGAUCCAAAACCCUAAUUUAUAAUCCUAUUAAACUCUGUAUCCAAAACCCUAAUCAAAAUUCUAUUGGAUUAAGUUCUCAGAUCAAUCACUCACAGAUCCAGUCUCCUUUGAUCCUUCAUAUAGCUGCUUCAUUCAUCUGUGCAG